This 2953-nucleotide long non-coding RNA is filed under the name Hordeum vulgare. RNAcentral describes it as "long non-coding RNA (HVUL_LNC014830)". Lineage: Eukaryota; Viridiplantae; Streptophyta; Magnoliopsida; Poales; Poaceae. The record is from RNAcentral.
GUAUAUCGACUUGUACAUCAGGAGCUAUCUUGUCCGCAAGACCAACAUCUUCAGUGAGCUCGCUGAUGUUUGCAUCAGUGCUCUUCUUGACUGCUUCAAUUUCCAUGGUUCCAGUGCCCUUCACUUCUUCUGCUGGUAGGUCAGGUGCUGAUUUGUUUUCUUCCAUCUCAACAGGUUCAGCAUUCUCGAGCUCUUGUAGUUCUGACACUUGUGCUUCUGGUAUAUCAUCUGUUGCCUCAGCUGCCAUUACAUGUUCUUCAGGAGCUGCCUCAUCUGCAUGAGCAACAUUGCCUCUUACAUCCUCGGUGAGCUCACUGAUGUUUACAUCAGCGAUCUCGUUGAUUGCUUCAGUUUUCUUGGCUUCAGUCUCCUUCACCUCUUCUGCCGACAGCUCAUUUGCUGAUAUGUUUUCUUCCACUUCAAUAGGUUCAGUAUUCUUGAUUUCUUCUAGGUCUAGCUCUUGUGCUCGUGGGAUAUCAACUGGUGCCUCAGUUGCUAUUACAUGCUCUUCAGGAGCAGCCUCAUCUGCAGGAGCAACAUUGCUUGUCACAUCCUCAGUGAGUUCGCUGAUGUUUGCAUCAGGGCUCUUGUUGAUUGCUUCAGUUUCCUUCACCACUUCUGCUUGCAGGCCACUUGCUGAUCUAUUUUCUUCCACCUCAACUGGUUCAACACUCUUGAUCUCUUCUAGUUCCGGCUCCUGUGCCUGUGGUAUAUCAAAUGUUGUCUCAGCUACUGUUACAUGCUCUGCAUGAGGUUCCUCGUCUGCAGGCACAACGUUGCUUUUCACAUCCUCAUUGAGCUCACUGAUGUUUGCAUCAGUCCUUUUGCUGAUUGCUUCAGUUUCCUUCACCUCUUCUUCUGGCAGGUCACCUGCUUCAGUAUUCUUGAUCUCUUCUAGCUCUGGCUCUUGUGCAUGUGGUAUAUCGACUGUUGUCUCAGCUACUGUUACAUGUUCUUUAUGAGCUGCCUCAUCUGUAAGAGCAAUGUUGCAUUUCAUAUCUUCAGUAAGCUCACUGAUGUUUGCAUCAGUGCUCUCAUUGAUUGCUUCAGUGUCCUUCACCUCUUCUGCCGGUAUGUCACUCGCUGAUGUGUUUUCUUCCACCUCAACAGGUUCAGUAUUCUCGAUCUCUUCUAGUUCUGGUUCUUGUGCUCGUGGAAUAUUAACUGUUCCCUCAGUUGCUAUUAUAUGCUCUUCAUGAGCUGCCUCGUCUGCAGGAUUGACACUGCUUGUCACAUCCUCAAUGAGCUCGCUGAUGUUUGCAUCAAUGCUCUCGUUGAUUGCUUCAGUUUCCUUCACCUCUUCUGCUGGCAAGUUACCUGCUGAUCUGUUCUCCUCCACCUCAACAGGUUCAACAUUCUCAAGAUCCUUUAGUUCCGGCGCUUGUGCUUGUGGUAUAUCAACCGUUGCCUCAGCUGCUAUUACAUGUUCUUCAGGAGCUGCCUCUUCUGCAGGAGUAACAUUGCUUUUCAUAUCCUCAGUGAGCUCACUAAUGCUUGCAUCAGUGCUCUCAUUGAUUGCUUCAGUGUCCUUCACCUUUUCUGCUGGCAGGUCACUUGCUGGUAUGUUUUCUUCCACCUUAACAGGUCUAGUAUUCUGGAUCUCUUCUACUUCUGGCUCUUGUGCUUGUGGUAUAUCGACUGUAUUAUCAGCUACCGUUACAUGUUCUUCAGGAGCUGCCUCGUCUGCAAGAGCAACAUUGCUUUUCACAUCUUCAGUAAGCUCAUUGUUGUUUGCAUCAGUGCUCUCGUUGAUUGCUUCAGUCUCCACGGCUUCACUAUCUUUCACCUCUUCUGCUGGCAGAUCAUUUUCUGAUACAUAUGCUUCCACUUCAGCAGGUUCAGUGUUCUUGGUCUCUUCUAGUUCUGGCUCUUGUGUUCGUGGUAUAUCAACUGUUGCGGCAGUUGCUAUUACAUGUUCUUCAGGAGCUGCCUCGUCUGCACACACGAGAUUGCUUUUCACAUCCUCAGUAAGCUUACUGAUGUUUGCAUCAAUGCUCUCGUUGAAUGCUUCAGUUUCCUUGGCUUCAGUGUCCUUCAUCUCUUCUGCCGGCAUGUCACUAGCUGAUAUGUUUUCUUUCACUUCAACAGGUUCAAUAUUCUUGAUCUCUUCUAGUUCCGGCUCUUGUGCUUGUGCUAUAUCAACUGUUGCCUCAGUUGCUAUUACAUGUUCUUCAGGAGCAGCCUCGUCUGCAAGAGCAACGUUACUUUCCACAUCCUCAGCGAUCUCACUGAAGUUUGCAUCAGUGCUCCCAUUGGUUGCUUCAGUUUCCUUGGCUUCAUUGCCGUUCACCUCUUCUGCCGGCAGGUCACUCGCUGAUAUGUUUUCUUCCACCUCAACAGGUUCAGUAUUCUUGAUCUCUUCUACUUCUGGCUCUUGUGCAUGUGGUAUAUCAACUGUAUCAUCAGCUACUGUUACAUGUUCUUCAGGAGCUGCUUCGUCUGCAAGAGCAACAAUGUUUUUCACAUCUUCAGUGAGCUCACUGUUGUUUGUGUUAGUGCUCUCGUUGAUUGUUUCAGUCUCCAUGGCUUCAGUAUCCUUCACCUCUUCUGCUGGCAGAUCAUUUGCUGAUAUGUUUUCUGCCACUUCAGCAGGUUCAGUAUUCUUGGUCUCUUCUAGUUCUGGCUCUUGUGCUUCUGGUAUAUCAACUGUUGCCUCAGGUGCCAUUACAUGCUCUUCAGGAGCUACCUCCUCUGUAAGGGCAACAUUGUUUUGCACAUCUUCAAUGAGAUCGCUAAUGUUUGCGUCACUGCUCUCAUUGUUUGCUUCAGUUUCCCCCAUCUCUUCUGCAGGCAGGUCGCUUGCUGAUCUAGUUUCUUCCACCUCAACAGGUUCAGUAUUCUUGACCUCUUCUAGUUUCGGCUCUUGUGCUUGUGGUACAUCAACUGUUCUCUCAGCUACUGUUACAUGUUCAUCAUGAGCUGCCUCGUCUGUAAGAGAAACAUUGCUUUGCAC